GCGGGUGUAAUUCAGUGGUAGAAUGUCACCUUCCCAUGGUGAACGUCGUGAGUUCGAGUCUCAUCGCCCGCU
This is a transfer RNA of Chamaesiphon minutus PCC 6605, 72 nucleotides long. It matches the Rfam family "tRNA". Rfam says of the family: Transfer RNA (tRNA) molecules are approximately 80 nucleotides in length. The record is from Rfam. NCBI's taxonomy places the organism in Bacteria, Bacillati, Cyanobacteriota, Cyanophyceae, Gomontiellales, Chamaesiphonaceae.